Molecule: unclassified non-coding RNA, 341 nt
Filed under: soil metagenome
Description: partial contains 5.8S ribosomal RNA, internal transcribed spacer 2, and large subunit ribosomal RNA
Rfam family: 5.8S ribosomal RNA (bases 1-120)
Source: RNAcentral
GAUGAAGAACGUAGCGAAAUGCGAUAAGUAGUGUGAAUUGCAGAAUUCAGUGAAUCAUCGAAUCUUUGAACGCACAUUGCGCCCUUUGGUAUUCCAAAGGGCAUGCCUGUUCGAGCGUCAUUUGUACCCUCAAGCUUUGCUUGGUGUUGGGCGUCUUGUCUCUGGCUUUGCUGGAGACUCGCCUUAAAGUAAUUGGCAGCCGGCCUACUGGUUUCGGAGCGCAGCACAAGUCGCACUCUCUAUCAGCAAAGGUCUAGCAUCCAUUAAGCCUUUUUUUCAACUUUUGACCUCGGAUCAGGUAGGGAUACCCGCUGAACUUAAGCAUAUCAAUAAGCGGAGGA